CUGUUGUUAAAGAAGAACAUAUCUGAGAGUAACUGUUCAGGUAUUGACGGUAUUUAACCAGAAAGCCACGGCUAACUACGUGCCAGCAGCCGCGGUAAUACGUAGGUGGCAAGCGUUGUCCGGAUUUAUUGGGCGUAAAGCGAGCGCAGGCGGUUUUUUAAGUCUGAUGUGAAAGCCUUCGGCUCAACCGAAGAAGUGCAUCGGAAACUGGGAAACUUGAGUGCAGAAGAGGACAGUGGAACUCCAUGUGUAGCGGUGAAAUGCGUAGAUAUAUGGAAGAACACCAGUGGCGAAGGCGGCUGUCUGGUCUGUAACUGACGCUGAGGCUCGAAAGUAUGGGUAGCAAACAGGAUUAGAUACCCUGGUAGUCCAUACCGUAAACGAUGAAUGCUAAGUGUUGGAGGGUUUCCGCCCUUCAGUGCUGCAGCUAACGCAUUAAGCAUUCCGCCUGGGGAGUACGGCCGCAAGGCUGAAACUCAAAGGAAUUGACGGGGGCCCGCACAAGCGGUGGAGCAUGUGGUUUAAUUCGAAGCUACGCGAAGAACCUUACCAGGUCUUGACAUACUAUGCAAAUCUAAGAGAUUAGACGUUCCCUUCGGGGACAUGGAUACAGGUGGUGCAUGGUUGUCGUCAGCUCGUGUCGUGAGAUGUUGGGUUAAGUCCCGCAACGAGCGCAACCCUUAUUAUCAGUUGCCAGCAUUAAGUUGGGCACUCUGGUGAGACUGCCGGUGACAAACCGGAGGAAGGUGGGGAUGACGUCAAAUCAUCAUGCCCCUUAUGACCUGGGCUACACACGUGCUACAAUGGAUGGUACAACGAGUUGCGAACUCGCGAGAGUAAGCUAAUCUCUUAAAGCCAUUCUCAGUUCGGAUUGUAGGCUGCAACUCGCCUACAUGAAGUCGGAAUCGCUAGUAAUCGCGGAUCAGCAUGCCGCGGUGAAUACGUUCCCGGGCCUUGUACACACCGCCCGUCACACCAUGAGAGUUUGUAACACCCAAAGUCGG
RNAcentral lists this ribosomal RNA (1004 nucleotides) under Lactiplantibacillus plantarum. Its description in RNAcentral is "bacterial SSU rRNA". It matches the Rfam family "Bacterial small subunit ribosomal RNA", at positions 433 to 1430 of the family's 1533-position model. Lineage: Bacteria; Bacillati; Bacillota; Bacilli; Lactobacillales; Lactobacillaceae. The record is from RNAcentral.